RNAcentral lists this ribosomal RNA (497 nucleotides) under uncultured bacterium. RNAcentral's name for it is "partial 16S ribosomal RNA". It matches the Rfam family "Bacterial small subunit ribosomal RNA", at positions 28 to 507 of the family's 1533-position model. The record is from RNAcentral.
GAUGAACGCUGGCGGCGUGCCUAAUACAUGCAAGUCGAGCGAACAGACGAGGAGCUUGCUCCUCUGACGUUAGCGGCGGACGGGUGAGUAACACGUGGAUAACCUACCUAUAAGACUGGGAUAACUUCGGGAAACCGGAGCUAAUACCGGAUAAUAUAUUGAACCGCAUGGUUCAAUAGUGAAAGACGGUUUUGCUGUCCCUUAUAGAUGGAUCCGCGCCGCAGGAGCUAGUUGGUAAGGUAACGGCUUACCAAGGCAACGAUGCGUAGCCGACCUGAGAGGGUGAUCGGCCACGAGGGAACGGAGACAAGGCACAGACUCCUACGGGAGGCAGCGGUAGGGACUCUUCUGCGAUGGGCGAAAUCCUGACGGAUCAACGCCAGGCGAGUGAUGAAGGUCUUCGUAUCGUAAAACGCUGUUAUGAGGGAAGAACAAAUGUGUAAGUAACUAUGCACGUCGUGACGGUACCUAAUCAGAAAGCCACGGCUAACUACGUG